Molecule: transfer RNA, 72 nt
Filed under: Ornithorhynchus anatinus (platypus)
Lineage: Eukaryota; Metazoa; Chordata; Mammalia; Monotremata; Ornithorhynchidae
Rfam family: tRNA
About the family: Transfer RNA (tRNA) molecules are approximately 80 nucleotides in length.
Source: Rfam by way of RNAcentral
AGCAGCGUGGCUCAGUGGAAAGAGCACGGGCUUUGAAGUCAGAGGUCAUGGGUUCGAAUCCCGGCUCUGCCA